This is a long non-coding RNA of Meleagris gallopavo (turkey), 1583 nucleotides long. Lineage: Eukaryota; Metazoa; Chordata; Aves; Galliformes; Phasianidae. The record is from Ensembl.
UUGGGCUGGAAGAGGCACUGCUGACAGCAUGAUUUUCCUCUUCUCUGACCUCCAGACCCUGAACACAACUGGACAACCAGGACCAUCGGCCCUGUAUGUCGCACACCCCGUGUUGUUCAUAAUCUAGAAACCAGAACUUGUAUUUUCAACCGGAAGAUAUAAGAGUGGGAAACUUUCUCCUGCAGCUCAUCUCCAUAUGAAUCUGCACUUAUUGAUACUUUUCUUCAUCACCAAAAUCCUCUUUACAUGAGGCUGCAGAAAGAUAAAGUAAUGGACUCAGGUCUUCAUAACAUUUAAAAACUAAGUGAUACAUACAUGGAUAUUUAGAAGAUUAAAAUAUUUCAUUCAAAAUAUGUCCUAAUUAUCUUUUUUCUUUUUUUAGCUGAGGUUAAGAUAGCACUUGAACUCUAAACUUCUUUAAUAAUGUAUUAAUAUAAUAAUAUUAUAUUAAGUGCUCUGAGAAUACUACUGGAUCACAAAUUUAUAAUGUGUAGUUUUGUCCUGCCUGUACUUGGAUUAUAAACUCUUUGGAAGUAAGAACUAUCUUUUAGUCCUGUUGUCUUUAUAGUACCCAGAAAGUUGGGGCUUGGCAAUUCUACUGCGGUCACGGUUCCAACACUGACAGAGAAGCUGAGAACUUGAGGAUGGCUGCUGCCUUCUGGGAAGUAAAGAUCAGAUAGAGCUAAAUGUCCGCAUUCAGGAGAUCAUGCAAUGAUCACCUCCAGUUCCUUGAGUCGGCAUUUUGAUUUUGUCAGCAUCUGGUUCAUUACUAAAAGGUUCAGAAUAUUUCCACUGAUUGCUUUCCUGUGAGUAUGAUUAAAGUAUUUACUUCAGACUUCCUUGCCAGAGGAAAUUCAAUAGUGUUUCAGCACUUCUUUUUUAUAUUAUUUUGAAACUUUUCUCUCUCUAUUUUUUUCCCUUGUGUACUUACCUGCUUUUUCAGGGGCUAAUCCAAAGCUAGUAGGCAAGUCUGCAGUCAGGUCUUGAACAUUUAUUCAUUUGGGGCCGCUGUUACCACAAUCUAUUUUCAGAGUAGAUGCUAUAGGAUUUUAUUUUGAAUUUUAUCUUCAAGUCGGAAUGUUUGAAUUUUACAAUAAUCACAUUGUAGGCAUUUGGCUGUUCUUCUAGGAGCUUUUUUUAUUUCUUCAUUGGAUUUCAGCGGGUUUUCUGCUUGCUAUAAGAUUCUUACAUUGUAUUCAAAUCAAAUUCACUUGUCUUUCUGGAGCAAGUAUGGGCUUUGAGGGGUCCUGAGAUUCCAGGUAACCAUGUUUUCUGACUAUUCCCAAUAUGUGUAUCUUAGCUCUAUUUUUUUCUUCUUUAUGUGUUUAUGAUGUGCAUAAUCUUCAUCCCCUUGAAUAUAUGGAAAUUCUAGAGUGAAGACAUACAGAUGACUGGCUCUAAGUUUAAGCAGUGUCUGUGACAGCAACCUGGUGGGAUAUUUCACCAGGUCAAGGCAUCUCCCUUAGGUACCACCAUCUUUGUUAAUUCAGUGUAUAGCAAGCUUUUAAUUCUCUGUGCUGGGUGCCCAUACUCUCCAUUUGCCUGUUUCACUCUACCUCUGCUCUGUUCCUCCCUUUUUUUUU